GGAGGAGAAGCUUGAGCAGAAGAUACAAGAUAUCGAGCACCACCUUGAUGAGGUUCGAAAUGGAAGCCACCAAAAUGAUGAUGGCCUCAGCUUUAACUCUCGACCCCCUUUUCUCUCAGACUAGAUUGAGAAAACCAAUUCUGAGUUGGUUCAAAAUGCCUUAGGUGGAGCCAUACGAUGGCUCCUCUGAUCCCCUCGACCACUUGAAGAGUUAUAGGACCCUCAUGAUGUUGUAGGGCACCUUGCAUGCCCUCCUUUGCCUCGCUUUCUAAGCCACACUCAAAAAAUCAGUGCGAGCAUGGUGUUAGGAACUUCAGUCAGAGUCUAUUUAUUCAUUCGAGCAGCUUGAAAGACUAUUUGUCAUCCACUUCUACAAUAAUUGAGUUUAGUUGAAGAACAUCAAUAGCCUCUUCUCCAUCCAACAAGAAGAGAACGAGUCACUGUGCAGCUAUGUGGUACAUUUCAAUGUCACCAUCCUUAAUGUGUGCAAUCUUGAUGAGUCAGUAGCGAUGUUGGCACUCAAAUGAGGACUACGAAAUGAGUGACUCAUCUUCUUCCUUAAUAAAAUUUUUUCGAG
This 577-nucleotide long non-coding RNA is filed under the name Elaeis guineensis (African oil palm). RNAcentral describes it as "long non-coding RNA (EGUI_LNC015525)". The record is from RNAcentral. Lineage: Eukaryota; Viridiplantae; Streptophyta; Magnoliopsida; Arecales; Arecaceae.